GCCCGGUUAGCUCAAUCGGUAGAGCGUGAGACUCUUAAUCUCAAGGGUAAGAGAUCAAAACACGUUACACCUCA
Thozetella sp. PMI_491 is the source of this 74-nucleotide non-coding RNA. The record is from the annotation of a GenBank genome assembly. NCBI's taxonomy places the organism in Eukaryota, Fungi, Ascomycota, Sordariomycetes, Chaetosphaeriales, Chaetosphaeriaceae.